Molecule: ribosomal RNA, 713 nt
Filed under: Enterobacter hormaechei
Lineage: Bacteria; Pseudomonadati; Pseudomonadota; Gammaproteobacteria; Enterobacterales; Enterobacteriaceae
Description: bacterial SSU rRNA
Rfam family: Bacterial small subunit ribosomal RNA
Source: RNAcentral
CUUACACAUGCAAGUCGAACGGUAACAGGAAGCAGCUUGCUGCUUCGCUGACGAGUGGCGGACGGGUGAGUAAUGUCUGGGAAACUGCCUGAUGGAGGGGGAUAACUACUGGAAACGGUAGCUAAUACCGCAUAACGUCGCAAGACCAAAGAGGGGGACCUUCGGGCCUCUUGCCAUCGGAUGUGCCCAGAUGGGAUUAGCUAGUAGGUGGGGUAACGGCUCACCUAGGCGACGAUCCCCUAGCUGGUCUGAGAGGAUGACCAGCCACACUGGAACUGAGACACGGUCCAGACUCCUACGGGAGGCAGCAGUGGGGAAUAUUGCACAAUGGGCGCAAGCCUGAUGCAGCCAUGCCGCGUGUAUGAAGAAGGCCUUCGGGUUGUAAAGUACUUUCAGCGGGGAGGAAGGCGAUAAGGUUAAUAACCUUGUCGAUUGACGUUACCCGCAGAAGAAGCACCGGCUAACUCCGUGCCAGCAGCCGCGGUAAUACGGAGGGUGCAAGCGUUAAUCGGAAUUACUGGGCGUAAAGCGCACGCAGGCGGUCUGUCAAGUCGGAUGUGAAAUCCCCGGGCUCAACCUGGGAACUGCAUUCGAAACUGGCAGGCUAGAGUCUUGUAGAGGGGGGUAGAAUUCCAGGUGUAGCGGUGAAAUGCGUAGAGAUCUGGAGGAAUACCGGUGGCGAAGGCGGCCCCCUGGACAAAGACUGACGCUCA